This 400-nucleotide unclassified non-coding RNA is filed under the name soil metagenome. RNAcentral describes it as "partial contains 5.8S ribosomal RNA, internal transcribed spacer 2, and large subunit ribosomal RNA". The stretch from base 1 to 122 matches the Rfam family "5.8S ribosomal RNA", at positions 35 to 154 of the family's 154-position model. The record is from RNAcentral.
GAUGAAGAACGUAGCGAAAUGCGAUACUUGGUGUGAAAUGCAGAAUCCCGUGAACCAUCGAGUCUUUGAACGCAAGUUGCGCCUCAAGCCAUUAGGUUGAGGGCACGUCUGCCUGGGCGUCACAUAUCGUUGCCUGAUGCCAGUUUCCUCGUGAUGGGUGACUGUGCAGGGCGAAUGAUGGCUUCCCGUGAGCAUUGUUGCCUCAUGGUUGGUUGAAAAUUGAGUCCUUGGUAGGGAGCGCCGUGAUAGAUGGUGGUUGAGUGACGAACGAGACCCAAUCAUGUGAGACCCCUACCGAAUUUGGCCUUCAUGACCCACAUGCGUCUUUGGAACGCUCAUGACGAGACCUCAGGUCAGGCGGGGCUACCCGCUGAGUUUAAGCAUAUCAAUAAGCGGAGGA